Molecule: transfer RNA, 73 nt
Filed under: Neotoma lepida (desert woodrat)
Lineage: Eukaryota; Metazoa; Chordata; Mammalia; Rodentia; Cricetidae
Rfam family: tRNA
About the family: Transfer RNA (tRNA) molecules are approximately 80 nucleotides in length. Their secondary structure includes four short double-helical elements and three loops (D, anti-codon, and T loops). Further hydrogen bonds mediate the characteristic L-shaped molecular structure. tRNAs have two regions of fundamental functional importance: the anti-codon, which is responsible for specific mRNA codon recognition, and the 3' end, to which the tRNAs corresponding amino acid is attached (by aminoacyl-tRNA synthetases). tRNAs cope with the degeneracy of the genetic code in two manners: having more than one tRNA (with a specific anti-codon) for a particular amino acid; and 'wobble' base-pairing, i.e. permitting non-standard base-pairing at the 3rd anti-codon position.
Source: Rfam by way of RNAcentral
UGGGAUGUAGCUCAGUUGGUAGAGUGUUUGCCUGGUAUGCAGCAAGCCCUGGGUUUAAUCCCCAGCACAGCAU